CUUUCCCAGCCAAGGACUCGCAUGCCUCACUGGUAAUGUAAAUAGUCAGAUUACUAUACCUGUGUUCAACUAAAAGGAAAAUAAAGCAGUGAAGCCGCAGCCUUGCCCCGGUUAAGAAAGGUGCACUUACGUCCACAGUCUUCAGAGCCUUGUCUUCAGCCCAGUCCCGGGGCAGCUCCACCACCAUGUCCUCUUGAGGAACUGGAGGGACACAGAACAGCACAGGGACACAGAAAACCAAAUGGGAAUGUGCUGUUCAGUCUGUAGCCCCAAAAGAACAAUAGAGGACACCUGUGGGAAAGGCUGGCACUCCUUCUGGAAGAGCACUCCAGCUCAUUUUCACCAGUAAUUAAAACUUUCUUUUCAGGAAGGAACAGUUUCUGCUGAGGAAACUGCUCCCGAUUCCAGUUUUUAAUUUAUGUUGUCAUUUUUGAAAAACAUCCUUUUGAAUAAGAUAUCUGCUGGGAGAAAUUCAUCCAUCAAAUUAAAAACUGUUUCUAUGAACUGUCUGGAAUAAUUUGAACCUUUAUCUGAAUUCAGCUAGAAAAUAAAAUUAUGAAGCAACACUUUUAUCUCA
Molecule: long non-coding RNA, 577 nt
Filed under: Bos indicus x Bos taurus (hybrid cattle)
Lineage: Eukaryota; Metazoa; Chordata; Mammalia; Artiodactyla; Bovidae
Description: lncRNA (ENSBIXG00000030211.1)
Source: RNAcentral